Piliocolobus tephrosceles (Ugandan red Colobus) is the source of this 103-nucleotide small nuclear RNA. The record is from Ensembl. NCBI's taxonomy places the organism in Eukaryota, Metazoa, Chordata, Mammalia, Primates, Cercopithecidae.
UUGUGCUUGCUUCAUGGAUACUAAAAUUGGAAUAAUACGGAGAAGAUUGGCAUGGCCCCUGCACAAGGAUGACAUGUAAAUUUGUGAAGCAUUCCAUACAAAA